RNAcentral lists this ribosomal RNA (253 nucleotides) under uncultured bacterium. RNAcentral's name for it is "partial 16S ribosomal RNA". It matches the Rfam family "Bacterial small subunit ribosomal RNA", at positions 524 to 776 of the family's 1533-position model. The record is from RNAcentral.
UACGUAGGGUGCAAGCGUUGUCCGGAAUUAUUGGGCGUAAAGAGCUCGUAGGCGGUUUGUCGCGUCUGCUGUGAAAACUCGGGGCUUAACUCCGGGCCUGCAGUGGGUACGGGCAGACUAGAGUGCGGUAGGGGAGACUGGAAUUCCUGGUGUAGCGGUGAAAUGCGCAGAUAUCAGGAAGAACACCGGUGGCGAAGGCGGGUCUCUGGGCCGUAACUGACGCUGAGGAGCGAAAGCGUGGGGAGCGAACAGG